Rhododendron vialii is the source of this 917-nucleotide long non-coding RNA. RefSeq lists it as uncharacterized. Lineage: Eukaryota; Viridiplantae; Streptophyta; Magnoliopsida; Ericales; Ericaceae. The record is from RefSeq and is a predicted model, not a curated record. The transcript is spliced from 2 exons.
UAGCAGCCCACUCACUCCUCUCGGUAUCUCUCACUCUCAUCUCAACGACUCAACGCCUCUCUCUGAGUCUCUGACUCUCUCAACGUCUCUCUCUCUCACUCUCAGCGUCUCUCUCGCUCAAGUUGGGCCACUCAAAACCCCAUUUUCCUUCAGCUUUGCAUCAUUCAUCAUCUCUUGCAGUACUACCAGUGGAUACAAGGAAGGAAAGGCAGCUGGAAUGGCUUCUUUGCAACACACAAGUAUCAAUACCACAGUUUUAUGCAAAAAAGGGGCGAUUUCCGUAAUGGGUGUUUCGGCUCUUCUGUCGUCACUAUCGAGGUUCAGAACCAUUGUGGGUUUCCGUUGUCACUACCGAGGUUCAGAACCAUUGUGGGUUUUGCGAGAGGUAAAGUUGAUAGUUCUUAGUGGAGAUUUAUAUACAUCAUGAAUUGGAAUUUGGUUUCGUUCUAGUUAGGGCUGAUAAAAAACCCACGCUGCUUGAGUUCGAGUUGGUGCUUGUUCCUUAAAAGCUCGUUCAAGAUCAGUUUGGUACAUAGAUAAAGCAAGCUUGAACAUUUUUCUAAAGCUCAUUUAAGCUUUCAUAGCAAGCUCAAAAAAGCUACUACUCGGCUCCUUUGGCUUGUGAUGUAUAAAAAUUUCCGAGAUACUCGAGAUCAUCUAUGGCUCGAUAAAGCUUGUUCAAGAUCGGCUCAUCGCAUAAACAAGCUUAAAAUUGAACAUGUUUUGAAGCUCGUUAAGUUUCAAAUCAAACUCGAACAAUUAACUGUUCGAUCCAUUUAUGACCCCCAAUCCCAACGAAAUGAUGUGUAUAUCUAAAUCUGCUCGUUGGGAUCUAUUCUGUAAAUAUUCUCUGUGGGAUUGGGCACUUAGUGUAUUUUUUUUGUUGUUUUAUAAUGUUGGAGUAAUCUAAAUUUGCU